AAACGUUCUGGUCCCGGACUUAUCAUUGUCUACAGCCAUAUCUACACAUGCAAGCUUCCACAGCACGGUGCUCAAGCCCACCCCCCCCGCAAACACUACUCCGGGACAGGAGCAGGUAUCAGGCACGCAACACAAAUAAAAGCAGCCCAAGACACCUAGUUAACCAUAAAUCACACCCCCACGGAACUCAGCAGUGACAAACAUUAGGCCAUAGGCUCACACCUGACCCAGUAAAGGCUAACCCAGGGCCGGUAAACCUCCGUGCCAGCCACCGCGGUUAUACGAGGGACCCAAGACAAAACACAAACGGCGUAAAAUGUGACUAGAGACCUUAGUCCAAGUGGGGGCGAAACCACACCAGCGUCGUAAAACACCCUCUGGUCCACAGAAGAACAAUCAUGGGAAGCCCUCACACUAAAUCUAACUCUUGACCCCACGAAAGCCAAGACACAAACUAGGAUUAGAUACCCUACUAUGCUCGGCCACCAACUAAAACAGCUACGUACACCUGCUGUUCGCCAGAAGACUACAAGCAAAAAGCUUAAAAUUCAAAGGACUUGACGGUGUCUCACAUCGCCCUAGAGGAGCCUGUCCUAUAAUCGACAUCCCACGCAUCAACCUCACCCCCCCUUGAACAAUCCAGUCUAUAUACCGCCGUCACAACCCACCUCAUGAGAGACCCUUAGCAAGUAAAAUAGUUUGACACUAGUAAGACAGGUCAAGGUGUAGCUAACGGGGGGGGAAGCGAUGGGCUACAUUUUCUAUAAUACCAGAAAACUACUAGAAACAACAUGAAAAUUUGCCAAACGGCGGAUUUAGAAGUAAAUACAGGCCAGACCAUGCCAAAUUGAAACCCAGCCCUGAGACAAGUACAUACCGCCCGUCACCCCCGUUGACGCAAACAAAACUAAACAUAUACCACCACCUGCUUAACUAGAUGGGGCAAGUCGUAACAUGGUAAGCGUACUGGAAAGUGCGCUUGGACUU
This 987-nucleotide non-coding RNA is filed under the name Calodactylodes aureus. RNAcentral's name for it is "12S ribosomal RNA". It matches the Rfam family "Bacterial small subunit ribosomal RNA". The record is from RNAcentral. Lineage: Eukaryota; Metazoa; Chordata; Lepidosauria; Squamata; Gekkonidae.